RNAcentral lists this unclassified non-coding RNA (3970 nucleotides) under Hevea brasiliensis (rubber tree). Lineage: Eukaryota; Viridiplantae; Streptophyta; Magnoliopsida; Malpighiales; Euphorbiaceae. The record is from RNAcentral.
UUUUUUUUUUUUUUUUGUUCAAGUCCCACAUUUUGUAGUAUUUUCCUUCGAUAUAAGAUCUCUUGGUUGGAGCUCCCGAGAUUGUUCAUUCUUAUUCAAGCACCCUGGCCUUUCUUCUUUGGUAUAACCGUCCAUGGUAGAUUUCGAAUCUUGUUUUGACCUAUUAGAUUUCAUCUAGCUCUGUUCUCCAUUAAGAUUCACAGAGAAGGAAUUUCCAUCUUUAUUGGCAAAACUGCUUCCAUGCCAUAUACUAACGAAUAUGGAGUUGCUUUAAUCAAUCAUCUUUUCGAUCAUUCAUUUGAGAUUCUUGUUUACAGUUUCCAUGGCGUUGUUCAUUUGGGGCCGAUAAGGUGAUGAAUUAAGAUGAAUCACCCCGGAGGCUUCCGAUGACAUCGAUGCCCCGCAUUGCAAUCGAUCAUGGGACGUUUUUCCAGCCAACAUAUGUACAGCACUUGUGACAUUUUCAAACAUACUCGAUACAGUUUUUCUUAGCCAUCGUGUUCGUUAGCUUGCGUGGCAUAGUUUCCCUUCAUCAGAAUCACUAGUAUUCAGGGCAAUUAUUGGUCCUUCAAAGUUAACUUCAUGAAUAUCAUAGUUGAUUGAAUCAUUAUGUAUUGGUUGGAAAUGGGGCGGUUACAAGAGGAGAAUUAAGUGGUUUUAUUAGGCAAAGAAAAGGCUAAACAAAAGAAGUAAUCGGAUAUGAAAGUUUGGAAAAAUGCGCGAUUAACUUACUAAUACUUAAUCAUGAGAGAAGGUCCAUUCACAAUCCACUUAACACCAUGGACAAAGUGGUCAAGUGUAGGUAACCAAAUAUUCAUUACUCAGAGAAAAGUAUAAGGAUAUCCUUUGCCCCCCAAGUAUCAAGCUCUUGAUUUCUUUUUAUUUGCACAAUCAGCAUUUCUGGUUCCAACGCAUCUCCUAUGCAUUCUAUUAUGUGCACAUUGCCUCUUUUACCAGUUUCGUAGUUAGGCAAUGGAUUAAUUUCAUCAUUAGGAAUUGCACUUUCACUUUCCAUCUCCAACCACCCAUUUCUGAUAAGGGGCUGUACCUUACCUUUGAAAGCUCCACAAUUGUAUGUUGAGUGACCCAUUGCCCCCCCCCCCCUAUAGUAUUCACAAUGAGCAUUUGGAUCACACCUCAUUGGAUAUAGGGAUUGUAAAAGGUCGAGUGGUAUGGGUACUAUCUGGUUUAUGCUCAAAAGGUAACAAUAAAUCUCGCUUAAGGGCAUAGGCAGUGGUGGGUCGGGAUUGGGAAGUGGGUGAUUUAGAUGAACUAAUUUGUUUGAGUCGGCAGACGUGAAGUGUAAGCAAUUGGUUAUGGGACCUAUUGUGUUUGGGAUAAGAAGAAAUUUUGGUGGAAAAUUGGCUACCAUUAGGUUUUGGGAAGAAAAUCGAGAACGGUAGGUGUUUUGUGGGGGGGCAUGGUUGAUAGGCUUGUUACAUCACAUUGUGCACCUCCCCUUCCAUUUUCUUCUCAGAAUUUAUCGUACUUUUCACUGAAUUUUCUCUUACCACUUCCUGUAACCUCCCCUAGUCUCAAAUUUGCCUCAAUUCUCUCCCCAGUCUGUAUAAUGUUAGCAAAGUUGUUGGAGGUGUUCCCGAUCAUCAAAUAGAAAUAAGGAGCUUUCAAGGUCUCAAUGAAGAGAGAGCAAAGCUCAUUGUCAAUAACUGGAGGGUAUAUUUCCGCUGCUUUCUCUCUCCAUCUUUGGGCAUAUUCUUUGAAGCCUUCCCUGUCUCUCUGUACCAGGUUCUGAAGGUCCCUUCUUGUGGGGGCCACAUCGCAGUUAAAUUUGUACUGCUUUAAAAAGGCCUCGGCUAAAUCCUUCCAGGAGCGCAGUCUGCUCCUGUCUAAUUGAACACACCACCUCAGAGCUGCUCCAGAGAGGCUCUCGUGAAAGAAGUGGAUUAACAGUCUGUCAUCAUCUGUCAUAGAGGACAUCUUGGCAAUAUAGGUGGCCAAAUGAAUUCGAGGGUCCGAAUUCCCAGUAUACUUGUCAAAAUGGGGGACCUUGAAUUUGGGCGGCACCACCACAUCGGGAACCAAUCUUAGUGAUGCCACGUCAACUGAGCCAUACAUAUUCAGGCCCUCUAUAGCUCUCAAUCUCUCUUCCAGAGCGGACAGCUUCUCAUUUUCUCUCAUCUUACUUUCUCCUCCUGUUGUGUGAGGUGCUCCCCCAACUGGGAAAUGAGGGGCAGAAUGAAUUGGAGGGCUCGGGACCGAAAGGGAUGGUUCAGCAUUCGGGAUGGCUGGAUAAUAAGAGAAAGGAGGUUCAUUAGUCAUGACGACCGGAUUGACAGUGACUGUCGGGUCCGGGAUGGGGGAUUGAAAGGUAAAAGAAGUUGAAGCUUGGUGAGGAUCAUUUGUUGGAGGUGGUGGAGGAGGUAAUAGUAGGUUAAGGUCUGAAGCUGGCUUAUUUUGGGACAUCUCCCUCAUCAGCUUCAUAAGUUCUGAAACCUGGUCUUUUAGUUCAGAAACUUGCCCCUGUAGGUUCUGUACUUGUUCCUGAUCUUCCAUUAGUUUUCUUGUUCGAGAUCUUAUUAAGUACACUCGCUGGGGUUAAAUCGCGUGCUUGGUCAGACUUGCCUUGUUUGAAGUAAUGUUUGAUUUUCUGGGGGGAGUAAAAAGGAAAAUUUUCAAUGAAUUUUGAAUUAAAAAUUAAAAGGGUCCUGGUGUGGACAAAGGAUACAAUGGCAUCUGAGAGCCAAGACGAAAUCUGCAGAGGGAUAAUUGCAUCCCUUUUAUCAUGGCAUCGUUCGAUAGUCUGACCGUGAAUGACGAGAUUGAGUGCGCAUUUAUGAUACUUGUCCAUACAACGCAUUUCAAUUUUUCACAUAACCCUAGCGAGGAAGUUCCUACGGGAGUCAUACUAUUCAUUCACAAAUUUUGCUAAACAAUGGUUCAAAAAUCACUUCAUUAACUGAGUAAUUUGUACAUCGUAUCUUUUACAUUGGCCUAGGCUCUGGAAGGUUCUUUAUAAUAAGAUGACAUUUUCUGAGAUACUCAUAUAACCUUUCUUCUUGCUUGGCGGGGUCGAAUGCUUUCAGAGCGUACUCGGAUUCCGGUAAUAAUUCUUGUUUUCCCCGUGCUAUUGUUCUCUCCAGCUGGUCAACAUUCUCUUUCAGUCCUUGAUAGAGAGCAGCUUGUUUUUCUUUCUCUUUCCUUUCUUUAGCACACUCUUUCAAGAUAUCGUUGAUGAGUAGUGCUUGUUCUUUCAAUUCGAGCUUCUUCUUUUUGUUUUCUUGUUUAUACUCUUCAACGAGUAUUUCUUGGUAUUUCAUUUUUUCCUGAAGCUUACUAUUCUGUACUUCUACUUCUUUUACCACAGCUUGGAGAGAGUCUUUUUCCUUUUCCCACCGUACCUCUUGCUCUUCGAACCCCAUCUUUUCGGCCCUUGCCUCUUCCCUGAGUCUUCUCACCUUUCUUUUAAGGUUCUGCCGUUGGUCCUCCAACUGUUUUAUUUGUUCUUGCAGUUGUGAGUUUUCGGUAUUUGCCUUUUGUAGUGAGUCAAUCAGACGAUUAUCAGCUUCUUCUAAUAGGACGUUUUGGCGAGGGUCGCUGUCUUCGAAUUCUGUAGUUGAGUGUUCUCGAUCCCUGUCAGCCCUCCAUUCAAAAUAAUCGCGUGUGACACUUGGACCUUUAGGCGACCUUUCCAUCAGAGAAAUGUUUUCCCAGGAUCUGCGAGCCACUUUCAACCCUUCCUCUUCCUUGAGCUCAUGGUAGAAGUGACCUUGGUGGUAUUCUUCAAUGUUGAUCACAGACUGUGUUGAGCCGAACUGCCUCAUUACCAAUGCCGGAGUGUAACUUGUGUAUCCGGUUACUCCGAUUAGGGAUACCGACUGAUUACCUCCCGUGCUGAUCAAAACGGAUUGGCCUGACGUCCACAGUUUGCUCCAACAGUAAUCAUGGCUAUUGAAACUCAAAAUCCGUUCCCACCACUGUUUUUCAUUCUUCGGGCUGAUCACUAACCGGC